UACGAAGGGUGCAAGCGUUACUCGGAAUUACUGGGCGUAAAGCGUGCGUAGGCGGUCUGUCACGUCGGCUGUGAAAACCCGAGGCUCAACCUCGGGCCUGCAGUCGAUACGGGCAAACUAGAGUACUGCAGGGGAGACUGGAAUUCCUGGUGUAGCGGUGAAAUGCGCAGAUAUCAGGAGGAACACCUGUGGCGAAAGCGGCUCACUGGACCAUAACUGACGCUGGAUGCACGAAAAGCUGGGGGGAGCAAACAGG
This 256-nucleotide ribosomal RNA is filed under the name uncultured bacterium. Its description in RNAcentral is "partial 16S ribosomal RNA". It matches the Rfam family "Bacterial small subunit ribosomal RNA", at positions 524 to 776 of the family's 1533-position model. The record is from RNAcentral.